Long non-coding RNA from Hibiscus syriacus, 453 nucleotides. RefSeq lists it as uncharacterized. The record is from RefSeq and is a predicted model, not a curated record. The transcript has 2 exons. Lineage: Eukaryota; Viridiplantae; Streptophyta; Magnoliopsida; Malvales; Malvaceae.
CCCAAAUCUCUUUCAAAUCAUAAAAUUGAAGUCCCUCUGGGCCACCAGGACGAUUAAACAUGAGGAUAUCCUGCAUCUUCUUCUCUCUUUUGCUCCUCCUUGCCUCAGCAACCGAGUUUGGUCUGGAGUUGGCUAUACAUGGAGCUUAUGCAGCAUGGAUCCCUGAACAUACAUGUCAUAAGGUUAUCGAAACAAACUCAUGCCAACUUCACAAAUGCAUGGAAGGAUGUUCUAAGAAACCUGCUGGUUUGGGAUAUUGCAGACAAAACAUUUGUUAUUGCACUUACUAUUGUAAGGAUCCCCCAAUGUGAUUCUUUCAUUUGUCUUUCGCCACAAGCUUUCUUUGUCUUGUUUUGAGUUGGUGCUUAGAGACUAGAGAAUUGAAAGAUACUGCUUUUCAUUGUUUUUUUUUAUAAUUUUUUUAUGAAGAUAUUCAAGGAUAUUUGAUUUGAU